This 994-nucleotide ribosomal RNA is filed under the name uncultured bacterium. RNAcentral's name for it is "bacterial SSU rRNA". It matches the Rfam family "Bacterial small subunit ribosomal RNA", at positions 28 to 1065 of the family's 1533-position model. The record is from RNAcentral.
GAUGAACGCUGGCGGCGUGCUUAACACAUGCAAGUCGAACGAACCUUCGGGUUAGUGGCGGACGGGUGAGUAACGCGUGGGAAUCUGCCCUCAGGAGGGGGAUAACGGUUGGAAACGGCCGCUAAUACCCCAUAUGCCGAGAGGUGAAAUGAAUUUCGCCUGAGGAUGAGCCCGCGUCUGAUUAGCUAGUUGGUGAGGUAAGAGCUCACCAAGGCAUCGAUCAGUAGCUGGUCUGAGAGGAUGAUCAGCCACACUGGGACUGAGACACGGCCCAGACUCCUACGGGAGGCAGCAGUGGGGAAUUUUCCGCAAUGGGCGAGAGCCUGACGGAGCAACGCCGCGUGAGGGAUGAAGGCCUCUGGGCUGUAAACCUCUUUUAUCAAGGAAGAAGAUCUGACGGUACUUGAUGAAUAAGCCACGGCUAAUUCCGUGCCAGCAGCCGCGGUAAUACGGGAGUGGCAAGCGUUAUCCGGAAUUAUUGGGCGUAAAGCGUCCGCAGGCGGCCCAACAAGUCUGCUGUUAAAAAGUGGAGCUUAACUCCAUCAUGGCAGUGGAAACUGUUGGGCUCGAGUGUGGUAGGGGCAGAGGGAAUUCCCGGUGUAGCGGUGAAAUGCGUAGAUAUCGGGAAGAACACCAGUGGCGAAGGCGCUCUGCUGGGCCAUCACUGACGCUCAUGGACGAAAGCCAGGGGAGCGAAAGGGAUUAGAUACCCCUGUAGUCCUGGCCGUAAACGAUGAACACUAGGUGUCGGGGGGAAUCGACCCCUCCGGUGUCGUAGCCAACGCGUUAAGUGUUCCGCCUGGGGGAGUACGCACGCAAGUGUGAAACUCAAAGGAAUUGACGGGGGCCCGCACAAGCGGUGGAAUUAUGUGGUUUAAUUCGAUGCAACGCGAAGAACCUUACCAGGGUUUGACAUCCUGCGAAUCUCUUGGAAACUUGAGAGUGCCUUCGGGAGCGCAGUGACAGGUGGUGCAUGGCUGUCGUCAGCUCGUGU